Molecule: ribosomal RNA, 1071 nt
Filed under: Helicobacter sp. koalasto
Lineage: Bacteria; Pseudomonadati; Campylobacterota; Epsilonproteobacteria; Campylobacterales; Helicobacteraceae
Description: bacterial SSU rRNA
Rfam family: Bacterial small subunit ribosomal RNA
Source: RNAcentral
ACAUGCAAGUCGAACGAUGAAGCCUAGCUUGCUAGGUGGAUUAGUGGCGCACGGGUGAGUAACGCAUAGAUAACAUGCCCUUUAGUUUGGGAUAGCCACUAGAAAUGGUGAUUAAUACCAAAUACUACCCUACGGGGGAAAGAUUUAUCGCUAAAGGAUUGGUCUAUGUCCUAUCAGCUUGUUGGUGAGGUAAAGGCUCACCAAGGCUAUGACGGGUAUCCGGCCUGAGAGGGUGAACGGACACACUGGAACUGAGACACGGUCCAGACUCCUACGGGAGGCAGCAGUAGGGAAUAUUGCUCAAUGGGCGCAAGCCUGAAGCAGCAACGCCGCGUGGAGGAUGAAGGUUUUAGGAUUGUAAACUCCUUUUGUCAGAGAAGAUAAUGACGGUAUCUGACGAAUAAGCACCGGCUAACUCCGUGCCAGCAGCCGCGGUAAUACGGAGGGUGCAAGCGUUACUCGGAAUCACUGGGCGUAAAGAGUGCGUAGGCGGGGUUGUAAGUCAGAUGUGAAAUCCUAUGGCUUAACCAUAGAACUGCAUUUGAAACUGCAACUCUGGAGUGUGGGAGAGGUAGGUGGAAUUCUUGGUGUAGGGGUAAAAUCCGUAGAGAUCAAGAGGAAUACUCAUUGCGAAGGCGACCUGCUGGAACAAUACUGACGCUGAUUGCACGAAAGCGUGGGGAGCAAACAGGAUUAGAUACCCUGGUAGUCCACGCCCUAAACGAUGGAUGCUAGUUUGUUGGGGGGCUUUGUCCUUCCCAGUAAUGCAGCUAACCGCCUUAAGCAUCCCGCCUUGGGGAGUACCGGUCGCAAGAUUAAAACUCAAAGGAAUAGACGGGGACCCGCACAAGCGGUGGAGCAUGUGGUUUAAUUCGAAGAUACACGAAGAACCUUACCUAGGCUUUGACAUUGAAGGAAUCCCCUAGAAAUAGGGGAGUGUCUAGCUUGCUAGACCCUGAAAACAGGUGCUGCACGGCUGUCGUCAGCUCGUGUCGUNAGAUGUUGGGUUAAGUCCCGCAACGAGCGCAACCCUCUUUCUUAGUUGCUAACAGGNUAUGCUGAGCUCUCUAA